Molecule: long non-coding RNA, 6021 nt
Organism: Mus musculus (house mouse)
Lineage: Eukaryota; Metazoa; Chordata; Mammalia; Rodentia; Muridae
Product: predicted gene, 33582
Exons: 3
Source: RefSeq, a predicted model, not a curated record
GCUCCAGCUCCUCAGCUUGCCUUCUUAUACAGCCCAGGACCACCUGCCCAGGUAUGGCACUGCCCGGAGUGGGCUGGGCCCUCGCGCCUCAAUCACUAAUCAAGAAAAUGUCCCACAAAUAGGCUUUACAGGCCAAAUUGGUAUACGAAGUUCUUUAAUCAAAGUCCCCCCUUCCAUAUACAUCUAGGUUUUUAUCAGGUUGACAAAGCUAACAGCACAGCCACUUCUCAAGAGGAAGAAAAGCUCCUCCCCUGCCCUCUCACUCCACAGGCUCCACCACUAAAGCAAACAGCCAUAAACAUAAAGACGAUAAAGCCAACAGGUAAUGUUUGCCCUUAUGCAUUUGCCAAGACACGGCCUAGCUCGGCACUUCAUUUCCAGUCUCCAUCCAUUCCCUGUGUUUGCACCUUGCCCAGUUUAUUUUCGGUGGGAGAUACUACACCCUGACCUACCCAUAUGGUUGAGUUCCGUUCGGGAAUCUCUACCCAAACCCUACGACUAGAGAAUGAGACCCUGGAAGAGUUAAACAGAAUUGAAGAAAUAUAUUUCCAAGGAUCUACAGAGUAAUAAGGAAGACGAACUCAGCCUAGAUAAACUUAGGUUGUGUUCCAGCAGGAAAGAACAGAGCAGCAAUUUGGGGCAGCCAAGUACAAGCUGGGGCAUGGCACAAAUGACCAUGUCAUAAACGCUAAGCAAGCGGCUUCGCUCAAAGCCCCGCAGCUGGGCAGGUCCCCUGGGACUCGAAGGAAGGGACUAUCAUUUAGCUUGUUACAGAUACAGUAACAACUACUGUGGCGUUUAAAGGGAAAAGUUCCAUAGCUUUGAAAACCAAGAUAUGCAUGCUUUGUGCAUUAGGAUGGAGUAAUAAGGAAACUGAAAGGAGUCUUAAAUGGGGAUAAUGUUUCUGUGGCUAACCUAAAAAUAGCUGCUAGAAGGACUAAUCCCUCACUAACUGGAUAACAGCAGACCAGACACGGGUGUGCCCUUUGAAUACGAAUGAAUUGCUCCUUGCCAUUAAGGUACCAAGACUUGAAAACAGCAAGUGUCUUGAACAUGGUAUCUGCAAUGAGACGCUGCACAGCAAAAGUGCUCACUCCAAGAAGUCAUUUGCCUCCCCAGUUUCUACACUUGCAAUCUCAGUGAUGUGCUUGGACCAUUUUACAGUAAUCCUGGCGUCCCUCUGCCUCUGGCUGAUGCCAUGUCUCUGAAGAUGAAGGGGAAGCUAUGCACAGACGUUCCUUGGGAAUGUCUGAAAUGAAUGUGUGCUGAUUACCGGACACACUAUAACUCAAACGCAGGGAUACUACUUCCAAAUGCAAAAAUCUCCGAAUCAAAAUGAAUGAAGAGUUUUAGAUCACAUUUUUAGGAUGAAAUAUGAUGUAUCUUUUUUUUUCUAGCAGGUAAGACACAAUCCUUCAGAGAAAGGGGCCCAAGCCCAGAACUAGGACAUGUGCGGGUGUGUGGUAGUAGGGUAGUGUCACGAGCCUGCUGCACAGCUGGUGAACAAACAUCGCAUCUGUAUACUUUUGUUGUUUUGAUUUGGUUGUUGACACAAGUUCUUAUUAAUUGCCCACCUUGGCCCAAACUGGGCUCAAAAGGUACACAUGCCUUCCAAACAGCUGGGAGAGGAGUAAAAGCCACAUCUGCCUGCACCUCACAGAUGCAUGUGCCCGGGAGGCACACGGACAUAACUGUUCCCACCUCCGUGCUGCUCAAUGCCACGCGGCAGGUUACGCUUUGUGUCUGCCCUUGACAAUGCUAUGGGGAAACUGCCCGGUCAUAAAUGUGAGCUCACUUUUAUUUUUAGCCUUUCUUGGUGGUUGUUAACAUUCUUCCCUGAGCACUUUUACUGGCGCAAAAGGAUGUAAGUAACAUCUUGUCUCAGCGUGCUAUCGACUGGAGGUUAUAUUUAGUAAGUGUGAAGAGCCCCAGGGAUAAGGGGGUGAGACCCUUCUUCAGAGGCACGGUAUGAACAUCCUCCCAUAAGCCAUCUGAAGGUUCUGGGAGAAUGGCUUUAAUGUAAUCCAUUUGUCUAGCUGGCACCUCCAUCAGACGAGGAUGUAAGAUAAAGCAUCCAUUGUAAAAGUGAAAUCAAUUAUUAAACAACUAAAGCCAUCAAAUUAGGGGCAGAGUGGCCACCUGCAGGCACAAGACAAGACUGCCUUUCAAAGGAGAGAACUGCCACACUUGAGAAUUGACAUGUCCAGUGGGUGUAAGUGUGUUGGGGGGGGGGUGACAACUGUCAGACAUUAAAGAGUGGACAGUGUAGGAUCAGGGUAACUGGUGAGUGUAACUCUGCAUCAUGCACACUUAGACAUGCCUCUAUGUAGCCAGAUCCUGGGUAACACUGUCUAACUUGAUCAUGCAUCUGGUAAUUAAUGCAUGUGUAUGCGAGUCACACACACACACCACUGACACAGCUCUUGGAGGGGGGUGGGGGGAAGAUAAAGUCUUUCUUUACAUCCUCAUCCAUAAUGAAGGUAAAGAAAUGGCCUGUAAGGAACCAAAUGACAAUGUCAAAAUUUGAGUCCAUUUCUCUCUAAACCUACAGUCUGGAGUUUUACCCUGAAACACAUAUUGUCUCCAAGAACUUCCAAACAUAAUCCAGACCUUCAGAGUAAGUACAAAAUUACCCAGGACAGAGGUGGGUCAAGUCUGUGUGUGGAGUGCCCUGUAUAGUGCAGAAAACAGAAGCAGAGAUGAGACCCAUAUCUGCCUUAUUUCCUACCAAGGAAGAGGGAGCCAUCUAGAAUGAGCGAAUGAACCGGUCCUGUUCAGAUCAGAGCUGAUCCGGAACUGCACCAGCUCUGUGGGCCUCAGUUGGUUCUCCUAGAAAUUAAUAGGCUGCUCUGAAAUAGUUCACUGUGAAGUGAAGGGAUUAAAACUACCUUGUGCCAUUUUCCAGCUCCAACAUUCUAGUAUCUGAGCUGCUGGGAUCCUUCCUAUCUUUAGCCGUCCUCACCCUUUCCUUUAAAACUCAGGCCAGGUAGUUAGGUUCACACAGGAGCCCAUUGGAAAAUCAAAACCAAAAGGAGCCCCUUACUGACCAGAAGAGGGCAGGGGAGACAGGUCUGUUGCUGCUAUGUAUUCAAAUGCUAUACACUAUCUGAAGAUCUGGCUGUCCCAAAGCCAGGGCCAGCCAGGGAAUUCUGCAGUACACCAGCUUUAGUUGGAUAAACCUUGCCCCGCCCCCUGCCCGAAAGUUAUCCUAAUUGGUUAAUAAAGAUGCCUGCAGCCUGAGCUAGGCAGGAGGGAGGGAGGCAGAGCAAAAGUUCUUAUGCUUGGGGUCACAGAAAGAGAAGAAGAAGGAGAAGGAAAGAAGAAAGUCACCAUGGGGCAGGUGGAUCUCCAGUGCAUGGCACGGGGGCUGGCCCGAUGGAGUGGAGCAGCCCAAGUAGACCAUAGUCUCUGUACAAGACCAUACACUCGGUGACGCAAGCAGCCAACCUGAGAGGCAAGAAGUUCCCUACACUUGCCAAACUGUGCCCACGACAACUAGGAACAGGACAGAAAACGGCAGCUCCAGUCCUUUCCAGCAUCAGCAUCACCGUCCCGACAGGGUCUGCAUGGGUCCUUCGUGCAAUAAGAAUUUCCAGGUUGAGACCUGAAAUUCAGUGAAGUGCUGGGUCUGCAGCUCCUGUCCUCAGCGGUGUGUCACAGACCAGAGACCUCCAGAACGCUCACCCACCACACACAUCCACUCCCACGAAACACGCAGUGCACCUUCUACAUGCAAACAAAUCUAUUGAGAGGUAAGGGAUGACUGGCCCAAGGUCACUCGGCUUGCUUUUGUUUGAUUUCUCCCUUCACUUAAUGUUUAAACUGAGUCCUUCUGAGCACAGUUCUAUGGGGGGUAGUGAAAAAGCCAGCUAAAUCUUUACUGUGUCUGACGAAAUCUUGGCUUUAGACUAAAAACAGAAAAACAAACCAGCCAACCGGAUUCUGAUCUUACUCUUGCAGAAGAGAUCAAUCAUUACCUUUCCUUUUACAUAAAGUGGGGGAGCCUCAGGGGCUUGGAGGGCUAUGGAGUGAUGGGCUGUAGGAGGUAAGAAGGCGGUUGGCUCAACACGACUCAGUAGCCAGUGGUGGUUCAAACUUCAGGAGUCUAACCACGAGUGGUGUAUUUUAAGCAUAUGUAGCACAGCCGAAUUUGGUGAAAACUAUUCUGGUGAUGAACUCAAUCCCGUGCGCACAACAAAGCACACAUAAACUUCCUUAAGAAACAAAGUCAGCUAAAUACGGAUUGGACGUGACUAUGCAAGUCCAUAAAGAUAGGUUCUAUAGAUUGACUGAGGGAAAAUAAGUUUUUGAUAAGAGUCUCAGGAAAGGUCUGGUGCCAGGAAAGUCUCGGGCCAUGCAAACAGAAAAUAAAAAAAAAAAAAAAAAAGGCCACCAGGCUAGGAACCGUCAGCCCUCUGGGCCAAUGACAGGUGCUAAUUCUUUUCUUUGAAGGGACAACCCUGUGUGCUUAGCAGCCCAGGCUCCCCACUUGGGUUAUCUGUGAGCACAAACACCUCCAAGCCUCUUAUGAUAAAGCAUGGACUCUGGCCCUAAGGGUAAACAUUGUAUCUGAGAAGAAAUGACUCUUUAGCAGGAAGGUCCAAGAAACAGGAAAGGGAUCAAGUGUUGAGCAGAGUGAGCUUCAGGGCAGCCCAACUACUCAGUGAGUCUCCCAGGCUGCUGAGGGAGCUCUCAAAGCUUAGGCUGACCAUCGCACUGAAGCGGUUGGAAACAUUCGUUUAUUAUUAUAUAUGUUAUCAUCAGCAUCCCCCAGACAGGAAACAAUGACCACAACUCACUGAGAAUAGAAAGAAUAGACAGUGGUCGUUUGUAAUUGUUCUCUGAUUUCGUGGAAUCACAGCAUAAGAUGGGCUCAUUGCUCCUGUCUUUGUAGGUACCUUCUGGUAACCAAAUUGUCCAACAGCCCUGGAGAAGUGUGGUGACGGUAGCCUAGGAAGGAAGGAGUCUUAUUGUGCUGGGGCAGCCUGAGCUCACUCCCAAAUGUAGCUCAAGAUGACUUGAGACUGGUGGCAAUCCUCCUGCCUCAGCCUUCCAAGUGUGGGGAUUACAGGUAUGAGGUAUCAUGCAGGUUUGUGGGAGGAGCAAUAAGGCAGUCAGUUUACUUGCCACAUGCAGGAUAGACUGUCAAGGGCAAUCGGGGAGUAUUGCACUUAUCUCCAUGGUAAAUGCCCCUCAUUGCCUUUGCAGAGUUGGAAAGAUUAGGUUGGUAUUAGGCACAGAAUGCAGACCUCAGUCCCACCAUCCGGUGGUAAAAGGAAGAAAAGGCACACAAGACAAAAACCAAGCAAUAAGCAGUGUUUCUUAACCACAACAUCCAAAGGCAACAGAAAUCACACACAGGCUGUGCUGCCUUUGAGCAGAAACCCUUGUGUCCUUGCCAGAGGUAGUCUGGCCUGAAGUAUGGAAGAUUUACCAACGGGAGGAAAGAAAGUCAGACAUAAAAUCCAGAGCAAUGGGCGAGUCUGUGAGACCUGUUUUAUCUCUACUUGUAUGAAAGCAGAACUUUCAAGAUAAUUGCCUCAAUUAAUUGGCCAUAGCUGCAGGUUUUUCCCAAGCCUGGAACAGAGCAGCCCCUGGGGAGAGGAAUGAGGCCUUGGGAGAGCCAGCAUCACUGAAUUUGACUAAGCCACCAGCUCUGGAACCAUUUCUUUUCAAAAUGUUUACAUGUGUGACUUUUUAUAAACACACAUAUGCAACAUUUUUUUUAAAGACAGUAGUGUGUGGAGAGCACAUUAAAAUAUAGAGAAAGAUGAAUCUCAAUCUAAACACCCCAAAACAGGCCUGUAACUCACCGAUUCUCUCCCUUCCUCCUGCCCACAGACCAGUUCCUUCCUCACCUUUAUCCUCUUCCUCUUCUCCCUGGUAUUUACAGACUGACAAGCUAACAGUCAACUCUGACAGCUUGGGGUAAAGGGUCUUUGAUAGGAGAUCACUUUGUGCAAAUCUCACUCUUGUACAGAUUCUUAUUAAAGAUUCUAUGGAUGCAUUUUGAUGGCCUAA